RNAcentral lists this long non-coding RNA (747 nucleotides) under Vulpes vulpes (red fox). Its description in RNAcentral is "lncRNA (ENSVVUG00000003645.1)". The record is from RNAcentral. Lineage: Eukaryota; Metazoa; Chordata; Mammalia; Carnivora; Canidae.
CACAAUUCCACAAAGAGGAAUUAAAACUAGGUGUUCAUGGAGAACACAGAAGAAUGUCAGCCACCUUUAACUAGACUUGAAUACAAAUAAAAUAUAAGAUUUUACAUUUGAGAUGCUGAAGAGUCCCAGUGUGAUAACUGUCUUCAAUCAAUUAUAAGGACACUAGUACAAGAAAAUAUAUAUCCUGGCUUAAAUUAGUGUAGAGCAAGAAGAGGACAUAGAAAUUGGCCCAAUUAAAAGAAAAAUGCAGAUUCAAUAUUAUAAAGUGUGGUUAUGAACAGCAUGAAUAAAUAGCAUUAUCCCAAACAGAUCUUAAGUUUGGACCAGAAGAGUGAUUCUCCAAAGCUACAAUGGACAGUAGAGCUAGUGACCAAGUGAGAACAUGGAUUUCUUGGUGCCAGAUAUCAACCUUUUAUGAUCAGGCCCAGUGGUCCUAGAACUGAUGAUGUCACCCCAUAUGAAUUCUGGAGGACAUAUAGAUACCAGAGGAUACUUGUGAUGUGGCACUGCCAACUUAACAAAUACUCAAGGUUGAAAUGUAGAAAGAAUCAAGAUUAUGACCCAUUAACCAAAGUCUCAGACAUACAUUUCAGAGAAUGGAAGCAUAAAGAGGAGGGUAAAGAAAGUCAUGGAUGAUGAACCAUAUUUACACUAUUUACAUAUUUUAUAUAUUAAUUUGCCAACUUGCUUGAAAAAUACACAUAGUAAUGUUUGACAAUUGAAAUAAAGUCAUAAUUCCUAAUAUCA